AGGGAUGUAGCUCAGUGGUAGAGCACUCGCCUGGCAUGUGUGAGGCACUGGGUUCGAUCCUCAGCACCACAU
Molecule: transfer RNA, 72 nt
Filed under: Ictidomys tridecemlineatus (thirteen-lined ground squirrel)
Lineage: Eukaryota; Metazoa; Chordata; Mammalia; Rodentia; Sciuridae
Description: Spermophilus tridecemlineatus (thirteen-lined ground squirrel) tRNA
Rfam family: tRNA
About the family: Transfer RNA (tRNA) molecules are approximately 80 nucleotides in length. Their secondary structure includes four short double-helical elements and three loops (D, anti-codon, and T loops). Further hydrogen bonds mediate the characteristic L-shaped molecular structure. tRNAs have two regions of fundamental functional importance: the anti-codon, which is responsible for specific mRNA codon recognition, and the 3' end, to which the tRNAs corresponding amino acid is attached (by aminoacyl-tRNA synthetases). tRNAs cope with the degeneracy of the genetic code in two manners: having more than one tRNA (with a specific anti-codon) for a particular amino acid; and 'wobble' base-pairing, i.e. permitting non-standard base-pairing at the 3rd anti-codon position.
Source: Rfam by way of RNAcentral